ACUUUUAACUUGUUUAUAACUUCCAGCAACUAAUUCCAUAUGUGGAAGAAGAUGGCUCAAAGAAUGAUGAUCGAGCUGGCCCACCUCGUUUUGCUAGUGAAGAGAGGCGAGAAAUUGCUGAAGUAAAUAAAAAACUCAAACAGAAGAAUCAACAGCUGAAGCAAAUUAUGGAUCAAUUACGAAAUCUCAUCUGGGAUAUAAAUGCCAUGUUGGCAAUGAGGAACUAAACUGAUAUUUACAUUUCCUGCUUUACACAUUAUACCAUUUUUUCCCCUCAAGUAUUCUUCCCUUUGAAGAAGAUUAUUUAUCUGUUUGUAUUCCAGUCACUAAAACUAAAGUUCUAUUUUUACAUUGUGGUUUUACAUUAAAGUAGUCAUUGGCAGUCUUUUGUUUAAGCUAUUGAUUUUGUGAAAGAUUAUAAUAAUAAACUUUGACAGGGUUUGUGUUUUGGUUAA
Myotis lucifugus (little brown bat) is the source of this 455-nucleotide long non-coding RNA. RefSeq lists it as uncharacterized. The record is from RefSeq and is a predicted model, not a curated record. NCBI's taxonomy places the organism in Eukaryota, Metazoa, Chordata, Mammalia, Chiroptera, Vespertilionidae. The transcript is spliced from 2 exons.